This 126-nucleotide ribosomal RNA is filed under the name uncultured Hohenbuehelia. Its description in RNAcentral is "partial 28S ribosomal RNA". It matches the Rfam family "Eukaryotic large subunit ribosomal RNA", at positions 1 to 124 of the family's 3401-position model. Lineage: Eukaryota; Fungi; Basidiomycota; Agaricomycetes; Agaricales; Pleurotaceae. The record is from RNAcentral.
UUUGACCUCAAAUCAGGUAGGACUACCCGCUGAACUUAAGCAUAUCAAUAAGCGGAGGAAAAGAAACUAACAAGGAUUCCCCUAGUAACUGCGAGUGAAGAGGGAAAAGCUCAAAUUUAAAAUCUG